This is a long non-coding RNA of Fukomys damarensis (Damara mole-rat), 332 nucleotides long. RefSeq lists it as uncharacterized. The transcript is spliced from 3 exons. NCBI's taxonomy places the organism in Eukaryota, Metazoa, Chordata, Mammalia, Rodentia, Bathyergidae. The record is from RefSeq and is a predicted model, not a curated record.
CAGCUUCCAAAGCUCCUUCAGGUCCAGGCUGAGGCUUCCCCACCCCAGCAACCACCCCAAGGUGUGGAGGGCCCACCCCCGGGGCCAGACCUGUCCACACAGGGCCCACGCCCACCCAUCUGCUCCAUGUCCCACCUGGGCUUCUCCACCUUGGCCCUGUGCUGUCCCCCAACACUUGGGGAAGCAGGGCCCACCACUGCACACUAUGUUAGGACCCAUGCACGCACCAGGUACUGUGUGUGCCCGGACAUGUCCAGACUCAAGUUCUGUCUCUUACCUGAAGGGAUUAUGGUAUGAACGCAUCAUCUUGGAAGCAAACCGUCCAUCCCCAG